ACCAUGAGAGCCGGUAACACCCGAAGUCAGUAGCCUAACCGCAAGGGGGGCGCUGCCGAAGGUGGGAUUGGUAAUUGGGGUGAAGUCGUAACAAGGUACC
RNAcentral lists this ribosomal RNA (100 nucleotides) under uncultured bacterium. Its description in RNAcentral is "partial 16S ribosomal RNA". It matches the Rfam family "Bacterial small subunit ribosomal RNA", at positions 1401 to 1500 of the family's 1533-position model. The record is from RNAcentral.